This 383-nucleotide ribosomal RNA is filed under the name uncultured eukaryote. RNAcentral describes it as "partial 18S ribosomal RNA". It matches the Rfam family "Eukaryotic small subunit ribosomal RNA", at positions 592 to 976 of the family's 1831-position model. The record is from RNAcentral.
CAAUAGCGUAUAUUAAAGUUGUUGCGGUUAAAAAGCUCGUAGUUGGAUCUCGGCAGGCAGGGGGUGGUUCGCUCUUAGCGCUACUGCCCCAUUUGCCUGUGUGAUUGGCGGAGGUUUCGGGGUGCUCUUCGUUGAGUGACCCGGGGCGCCGUCAGGUUUACUUUGAAAAAAUUAGAGUGCUCAAAGCAGGCUUUUCACGCUUGAAUAUUCGUGCAUGGAAUAAUGGAAUAGGAACUCGUUUCUAUUUUGUUGGUUUUCGGAAAUCGAGUUAAUGAUUAAUAGGGACAAUUGGGGGCAUUAGUACUCAGACGACAGAGGUGAAAUUCUUGGACCGUCUGAAGACUAACUACUGCGAAAGCAUUUGCCAAGAGUGUUUUCAUUAA